Molecule: ribosomal RNA, 1435 nt
Filed under: Scinax imbegue
Lineage: Eukaryota; Metazoa; Chordata; Amphibia; Anura; Hylidae
Description: partial 16S large subunit ribosomal RNA
Rfam family: Bacterial large subunit ribosomal RNA
Source: RNAcentral
GCUAAAAAUCUAGCCCAAACUAACCCCCUAUGCCCCCCCCCCCAUUUUCUUUAACGAACUAAAACAUUUUUCCAUUUUAGUAAAGGAGAUUGAAAAACUCAUUGGAGCAAUAGACACAGUACCGUAAGGGAAAGAUGAAAUAAUAAUGAAAAACCUUAAGCAAGAAAAAGUAGAGAUUUACCCUCGUACCUUUUGCAUCAUGGUUCAACUAGUUCAAUCAAGCAAAAAGAAUUACAGUUUGACUCCCCGAAACUAAGCGAGCUACUUCGAGGCAACUUUUUGAGUAAACCCGUCUCUGUUGCAAAAGAGUGGGACGACCCCCAAGUAGCGGUGACAGACCUAACGAGCUUAGUUAUAGCUGGUUACUCGAGAAAAGGAUUUUAGUCCAACUUAAAGCUUUUUUUACUCUACUAAAAUUUUAUCUAGGCUUUAAAGUAAUUCAAAUAAGGUACAGCCUAUUUGAAACAGGAAACAACCUCAGCCGAUGGGUAUAAUAUACUAUCCUACAUCUUCCACUAGUAGGCCUAAAAGCAGCCACCUAUAAAAAAGCGUCACAGCUUAGUCUAGUGAAAUUGUUCAAUCCCAUUAACCACUUUUAACCCUCCCCCCCAUACCGAGUAAUUCUAUAUCCUUAUAGAAGAUUUUCUGUUGAAACUAGUAACAAGAAGAAAGACCUUCUCUUAAAUGCAAACAUAAGUCAGAAAGGACAUACCACUGACACUUAACGUCUAUGAAUUAAAAUUAGCAACUUCUUCAAGAAAAACCUAAUUUACUCUACGUUAACCUAACACCAGAGCACUUCAAGAAAGAUUGAAAAAGAAAGAAGGAACUCGGCAAAUAUUAACCCCGCCUGUUUACCAAAAACAUCGCCUCUUGCAUAAAAAUAAGAGGUCCAGCCUGCCCAGUGACCCAUGUUCAACGGCCGCGGUAUCCUAACCGUGCGAAGGUAGCGUAAUCACUUGUUCUUUAAAUGGGGACUAGUAUGAAUGGCAUCACGAGGGUUACACUGUCUCCUUUUUUUAAUCAGUGAAACUAAUCUCCCCGUGAAGAAACGGGGAUAAAACUAUAAGACGAGAAGACCCUAUGGAGCUUUAAACCUCCCUUCAAGUGCCAGCUCCCCUUUUUCUUCACUUACUACACUAACUUUAACACUAUGAAGUCAAGUUUUAGGUUGGGGUGACCGCGGGGCACAAAAAAACCCCCACGUUGAACCAGGCCUCAAGCCUUGAGCAAUGGACUACAAUCCUAUGCACCAAAAAAUUUACAUCAAUUGACCCAUUAAUUUGAUCAACGAACCAAGUUACCCUAGGGAUAACAGCGCAAUCUACUUCAAGAGCCCCUAUCGACAAGUGGGUUUACGACCUCGAUGUUGGAUCAGGGUGUCCCAGUGGUGCAGCCGCUACUAAUGGUUCGUUUGUUCAACGAUUAAAACCCU